UACGUAGGGGGCUAGCGUUGUCCGGAAUCAUUGGGCGUAAAGAGCGCGUAGGCGGCUAGAUAAGUCCGGUGUGAAAGUCACAGGCUCAACCUGUGAAUGCCGCUGGAAACUGUCUGGCUAGAGUCCGGAAGGGGCGAGUGGAAUUCCCGGUGUAGCGGUGAAAUGCGCAGAUAUCAGGAGGAACACCGGUGGCGAAGGCGGGUCUCUGGGCCGAUACUGACGCUGAGGAGCGAAAGCGUGGGGAGCAAACGGG
RNAcentral lists this ribosomal RNA (253 nucleotides) under uncultured bacterium. RNAcentral describes it as "partial 16S ribosomal RNA". It matches the Rfam family "Bacterial small subunit ribosomal RNA", at positions 524 to 776 of the family's 1533-position model. The record is from RNAcentral.